GUGGCGUUUCGAACGAUGCACUUCAAAUUGGAAACCGUUGAAGUUGUUAGCGUUGGUGCUAAUUUAGUUCUAACUUUUUAACAAUCAAAAUUAGAGAAUAAUAACAAAGUUUAAUUGAGACAACUACAGAAAACUGUGAGGAAAAAGAUGUUAAAUGAGCCAAAUAAAGACCACAUUCCGGAGAAAUUUCCAAGAGAAAGAAACAACAUUGAUGACUUCAUAAAGAGGAGACCAAGUCUUAACAGAAGUAUUACUGGUGGUGGUUCUGGUUCAACUUUUCGAGCUGCUUGUGCUGCGGUAGACUCAUCCCUACCUCCUUCUGGGAAGAAACAUAAAAUAACAGAACUAUGUCUGAAUCAUACCCUGAAGGAAAUGAAGUUUAAUGCCUUAGAAAAAGAGCAAGAUGCUGUUGCUGCCUAUUCAGAAAGGCUACGGGAUAACAUUGAAGACAUUCUAAACAAAGUUCUAGUUUCUACUGGAGAUAAAGCUCAUCAGAAAUUUGAGAAACGAACAAGAUCAGCCACAAAACAACUGAAGAAUGAGAAGUUGCUGUGGAAUGAAGAAUACAAAAAGAGAAGAGAAGCCUAUUUAGAUGCAAAGAGUAAGCUUAAAGAUGUCUUGAAGGGAAGAGUGCAAAUUGAAACAGGCCGAUUGAAAUCUGAAGAUGUAAAGUUUCUAAAGAGCUUACCAGAUUUUGCAGCAGUCAACAAGAAAAUUGUUUCAUAUCAAACACGCCACUACAUAGGACUCGUACACCUGGAAAAAAAUUCCCAACAACUACAUCGGUCCUUAUCAACGGUUGAGCGUCAACUAGACGAAGUUCAGAGCAUGAUAGUUCCAACUUUUCAAUGGACAUAGGACCUUCUCCCAUUCCUUUCUGGAUAACGACGUCUACAAUAAUCCUUUCUUCCGCUACAUAAUCCGCUAUACUUUGCUGGCUUUCUUGUUGACGUAUGACAUGUGAUGGAGGUACUCCUGGCGGUAAAGUCCUCCCCGGAUUUCUAAUAUGAAUUUUAACUUCGCCACAACUUGUUCGAUGGUCUUCGAGUCACACUCAAUUCGCAAACGCCUCCAUUUUCUUUUAUCUGUGUCGUAAUACAUAAUAGCAACUGA
This 1113-nucleotide unclassified non-coding RNA is filed under the name Daphnia pulicaria. Its description in RNAcentral is "uncharacterized LOC124326490, transcript variant X2". The record is from RNAcentral. Lineage: Eukaryota; Metazoa; Arthropoda; Branchiopoda; Diplostraca; Daphniidae.